GCGAACGGAUGAGAAGCUUGCUUCUCUGAUGUUAGCGGCGGACGGGUGAGUAACACGUGGAUAACCUACCUAUAAGACUGGGAUAACUUCGGGAAACCGGAGCUAAUACCGGAUAAUAUUUUGAACCGCAUGGUUCAAAAGUGAAAGACGGUCUUGCUGUCACUUAUAGAUGGAUCCGCGCUGCAUUAGCUAGUUGGUAAGGUAACGGCUUACCAAGGCAACGAUGCAUAGCCGACCUGAGAGGGUGAUCGGCCACACUGGAACUGAGACACGGUCCAGACUCCUACGGGAGGCAGCAGUAGGGAAUCUUCCGCAAUGGGCGAAAGCCUGACGGAGCAACGCCGCGUGAGUGAUGAAGGUCUUCGGAUCGUAAAACUCUGUUAUUAGGGAAGAACAUAUGUGUAAGUAACUGCGCACAUCUUGACGGUACCUAAUCAGAAAGCCACGGCUAACUACGUGCCAGCAGCCGCGGUAAUACGUAGGUGGCAAGCGUUAUCCGGAAUUAUUGGGCGUAAAGCGCGCGUAGGCGGUUUUUUAAGUCUGAUGUGAAAGCCCACGGCUCAACCGUGGAGGGUCAUUGGAAACUGGAAAACUUGAGUGCAGAAGAGGAAAGUGGAAUUCCAUGUGUAGCGGUGAAAUGCGCAGAGAUAUGGAGGAACACCAGUGGGCGAAGGCGACUUUCUGGUCUGUAACUGACGCUGAUGUGCGAAAGCGUGGGGAUCAAACAGGAUUAGAUACCCUGGUAGUCCACGCCGUAAACGAUGAGUGCUAAGUGUUAGGGGGUUUCCGCCCCUUAGUGCUGCAGCUAACGCAUUAAGCACUCCGCCUGGGGAGUACGACCGCAAGGUUG
This 850-nucleotide ribosomal RNA is filed under the name uncultured Staphylococcus sp. RNAcentral's name for it is "bacterial SSU rRNA". It matches the Rfam family "Bacterial small subunit ribosomal RNA", at positions 66 to 896 of the family's 1533-position model. Lineage: Bacteria; Bacillati; Bacillota; Bacilli; Caryophanales; Staphylococcaceae. The record is from RNAcentral.